GCGGUCGUGGCGGAAUGGUAGACGCGCAGCGUUGAGGUCGCUGUGGGGUAACUCCCGUGGAAGUUCGAGUCUUCUCGACCGCACCA
RNAcentral lists this transfer RNA (86 nucleotides) under Seohaeicola saemankumensis. RNAcentral describes it as "tRNA-Leu". It matches the Rfam family "tRNA". From Rfam's summary of the family: Transfer RNA (tRNA) molecules are approximately 80 nucleotides in length. Their secondary structure includes four short double-helical elements and three loops (D, anti-codon, and T loops). RNAcentral also lists the same sequence under 14 other names. Lineage: Bacteria; Pseudomonadati; Pseudomonadota; Alphaproteobacteria; Rhodobacterales; Roseobacteraceae. The record is from RNAcentral.